RNAcentral lists this ribosomal RNA (473 nucleotides) under uncultured bacterium. Its description in RNAcentral is "SSU rRNA". It matches the Rfam family "Bacterial small subunit ribosomal RNA", at positions 26 to 518 of the family's 1533-position model. The record is from RNAcentral.
AGGACGAACGCUGGCGGCGUGCUUAACACAUGCAAGUCGAGCGGAAAGGCCCUUCGGGGUACUCGAGCGGCGAACGGGUGAGUAACACGUGAGCAACCUGCCCUUAGCUUCGGGAUAGCUCCGGGAAACCGGAAUUAAUACCGAAUAUGACUUUGGCUGACAUCAGCAGAAGUGGAAAGUUUUUCGGCUAGGGAUGGACUCGCGGCCUAUCAGCUAGUUGGUGAGGUAACGGCCCACCAAGGCGACGACGGGUAGCCGGCCUGAGAGGGCGACCGGCCACACUGGGACUGAGACACGGCCCAGACUCCUACGGGAGGCAGCAGUGGGGAAUAUUGCGCAAUGGGCGAAGGCCUGACGCAGCGACGCCGCGUGGGGGAUGAAUGCCUUCGGGUUGUAACCCCUUUCAGCAGGGACGAAGCGAAAGUGACGGUACCUGCAGAAGAGCGCCGGCUAACGUACGCGCCAGCAGCCGC